CAGCAGCCACGGUAAUACAGAGGGUGCGAGCGUUAAUCGGAUUUACUGGGCGUAAAGCGUGCGUAGGCGGCUUCUUAAGUCGGAUGUGAAAUCCCUGAGCUUAACUUAGGAAUUGCAUUCGAUACUGGGAAGCUAGAGUAUGGGAGAGGAUGGUAGAAUUCCAGGUGUAGCGGUGAAAUGCGUAGAGAUCUGGAGGAAUACCGAUGGCGAAGGCAGCCAUCUGGCCUAAUACUGACGCUGAGGUACGAAAGCAUGGGGAGCAAACAGGAUUAGAGACCCGCGUAGUCCCUGUCUCUUAUAC
Molecule: ribosomal RNA, 301 nt
Filed under: uncultured bacterium
Lineage: Bacteria
Description: partial 16S ribosomal RNA
Rfam family: Bacterial small subunit ribosomal RNA
Source: RNAcentral